AACGAACGCUGGCGGCAGGCUUAACACAUGCAAGUCGAACGAGAUCUUCGGAUCUAGUGGCAGACGGGUGAGGAACACGUGGGAACAUCCCUUUCAGUUCGGAAUAACGUUGGGAAACUAACGCUAAUACCGGAUACGUCCUCCGGGAGAAAGAUUUAUCGCUGAAAGAUUGGCCCGCGUCUGAUUAGCUAGUUGGUGAGGUAAUGGCUCACCAAGGCUACGAUCAGUAGCUGAUCUGAGAGGAUGAUCAGCCACAUUGGGACUGAGACACGGCCCAAACUCCUACGGGAGGCAGCAGUGGGGAAUAUUGGACAAUGGGCGCAAGCCUGAUCCAGCCAUGCCGCGUGGGUGAUGACGGCCUUCGGGUUGUAAAGCUCUUUUGUCCGGGAAGAUAAUGACUGUACCGGAAGAAUAAGCCCCGGCAAACUUCGUGCCAGCAGCCGCGGUAA
Molecule: ribosomal RNA, 449 nt
Filed under: uncultured bacterium
Lineage: Bacteria
Description: partial 16S ribosomal RNA
Rfam family: Bacterial small subunit ribosomal RNA
Source: RNAcentral